This 326-nucleotide ribosomal RNA is filed under the name uncultured bacterium. RNAcentral's name for it is "bacterial SSU rRNA". It matches the Rfam family "Bacterial small subunit ribosomal RNA", at positions 28 to 334 of the family's 1533-position model. The record is from RNAcentral.
GAUGAACGCUGGCGGCGUGCUUAACACAUGCAAGUCGAACGAAGCAUCUAAUAGCGAAGCCUUCGGGCAGAGCAGUUAGAUGACUGAGUGGCGGACGGGUGAGUAACGCGUGGGUAACCUGCCUCAUACAGGGGGAUAACAGUCAGAAAUGGCUGCUAAUACCGCAUAAGCGCACAGAACCGCAUGGUUCAGUGUGAAAAGCUCCGGCAGUAUGAGAUGGACCCGCGUCUGAUUAGCUAGUUGGAGGGGUAAAGGCCCACCAAGGCAACGAUCAGUAGCCGGCUUGAGAGAGUGACCGGCCACAUUGGGACUGAGACACGGCCCAG